This is a small nuclear RNA of Arachis stenosperma, 102 nucleotides long. The record is from RefSeq and is a predicted model, not a curated record. NCBI's taxonomy places the organism in Eukaryota, Viridiplantae, Streptophyta, Magnoliopsida, Fabales, Fabaceae.
GUCCCUUCGGGUACAUUUGAUAAAAUUGGAACCAUAUAGAGAAGAUUAGCAUAGUCCCUGCGUAAGGAUGACAUCACAAAAUCUAAUGCCUCUUCCAAUGAU